RNAcentral lists this ribosomal RNA (207 nucleotides) under uncultured bacterium. RNAcentral describes it as "partial 16S ribosomal RNA". It matches the Rfam family "Bacterial small subunit ribosomal RNA", at positions 568 to 774 of the family's 1533-position model. The record is from RNAcentral.
UGCGUAGGCGGUUACUUAAGUCAGAAGUGAAAUAUCCGGGCUCAACCCGGGGGCUGCUUCUGAUACUGGGUAACUAGAGUGCAGGAGAGGAAAGUGGAAUUCCUAGUGUAGCGGUGGAAUGCGUAGAUAUUAGGAGGAACACCAGUGGCGAAGGCGACUUUCUGGACUGUAACUGACGCUGAGGCACGAAAGUGUGGGUAGCAAACA